This 386-nucleotide ribosomal RNA is filed under the name uncultured bacterium. RNAcentral describes it as "bacterial SSU rRNA". It matches the Rfam family "Bacterial small subunit ribosomal RNA", at positions 28 to 420 of the family's 1533-position model. The record is from RNAcentral.
GACGAACGCUGGCGGCGUGCUUAACACAUGCAAGUCGAGCGGUAAGGCCCUUCGGGUACACGAGCGGCGAACGGGUGAGUAACACGUGGGUGACCUGCCUCUAGCUCUGGGAUAAGCCUGGGAAACUGGGUCUAAUACCGGAUAUGACUCCACGGCGCAUGUUGUGGGGUGGAAAGCCUUGUGUGGCUAGAGAUGGGCCCGCGGCCUAUCAGCUUGUUGGUGGGGGAUGGCCUACCAAGGCGACGACGGUAGCCGGCCUGAGAGGGCGACCGGCCACACUGGGACUGAGACACGGCCCAGACUCCUACGGGAGGCAGCAGUGGGGAAUCUUGCGCAAUGGGCGAAAGCCUGACGCAGCGACGCCGCGUGAGGGAUGACGGCCUCGG